CUAACACAUGCAAGUCGAACGGCACCCACCCUCGGGUGGAAGCGAGUGGCGAACGGCUGAGUAACACGUGGAGAACCCGCCCCCUCCUCCGGAAUAGCCUCGGGAAACCGUGGGUAAUACCGGAUGACCCCGCAGGGCCGCAUGGCCCCGCGGGCUAAGCCCAAACGGGAGGGGAUGGCUCCGCGGCCCAUCACGUAUACGGCGGGGUGACGGCCCACCGUGCCCACAACGGGUAUCCGGGUUGAGAGACCGACCGGCCACAUUGGGACUGAUACACAGACCAGACUCCUACUGCAGGCAGCAGUGGGGAAUCUUGCGCAAUGGGGGGAACCCUGACCCAGCGACGCCCCGUGCGGGACAAAGGUCCUCGGGUCGUAAACCGCUUUCCUCAUGUAUGAGACAAUACGGUACCUGACGAAUAAUGCUCUGCUAACUACGUGUCAGCAGCCGUGGUAAUACUUCGGGGGCGAGCGCUAUCCGGAUUCAUUGAUCGUAAAGCUCGCGUAAGCGGUCCGGCAUGAAGGGGGUCAAAUGGCGGGGGCUCAACCCCGUCCCGACCCCUGAACCGUCGGGCUCGGGUUCGGUAGGGGAGGGUGGAACCACCCGGUGUAGCUGAGGAAUGCGCAGAUAUCGGGUGGAACACGAGUGGCUAAGGUAGUCCUCUGGGCCGAGACCGACGCUGAGGCGCGAAAGCUGGGGGAGCGAACAGGAUUAGAUACCCUGGUAGUCCCAGCUGUAAACGAUGGACGCUAGGUGUGGGGGGACGAUCCCUCCGUGCCGCAGCCAACGCAUUAAGCGUCCCGCCUGGGGAGUACGGCCGCAAGGCUAAAACUCAAAGGAAUUGACGGGGGCCCGCUCAAGCAGCGGAGCAUGUGGCUUAAUUCGAAGCAACGCGAAGAACUCUUACCAGGGCUUGACAUGACCGUGAAGCCGGGGAGACCCGGUGGCCGAGAGGAGCGGUCACAGGUGGUGCAUGGCUGUCGUCAGCUCGUGUCGUGAGAUGUUUGGUUAAGUCCAGCAACGAGCGCAACCCCCGCCGCAUGUUGCCAGCACCUCGGGUGGGCACCCAAGCGGGACCGCCGGAGUCAAUCCGGAGGAGGGCGGGGACGACGUCAAGUCAUCAUGCCCCUUAUGCCCUGGGCUGCACACGUGCUACAAUGGCCGGUACAGCGGGAUGCGAUGGCGCGAGCCGGAGCGGAUCCUUGAAAGCCGGCCCCAGUUCGGAUUGGGGGCUGCAACCCGCCCCCAUGAAGUCGGAGUUGCUAGUAAUCGCGGAUCAGCAUGCCGCGGUGAAUGCGUUCCCGGGCUUUGUACACUCCGCCCGUCACUCCUCCCGAGUCGUCUGCACCCGAAGUCGCCGGCCCAACCAUAUGGGGGGAGGCUCUGAAGGUAUGGAGGGUGAGGGGGGUGAA
RNAcentral lists this ribosomal RNA (1412 nucleotides) under uncultured organism. RNAcentral describes it as "SSU rRNA". It matches the Rfam family "Bacterial small subunit ribosomal RNA". The record is from RNAcentral.